GGUUGGGUUGUUGCUGGCUUUUCGGAGCAUGUGCACGCCUAGCGCCAUUUUUACCACCUGUGCACUUCUUGUAGAUUUGGAACACCUCUCGAGGAAACUCGGUUUGAGGAUUGCUAUGCGAAAGCUAAGCUUUCCUUGCGUUUCAAGUCUAUGUUUUUAUAUACCCCAUAAGAAUGUUUUAGAAUGUCAUUAAUGGGCUUUAUUGCCUCUAAAUUAAUACAACUUUCAACAACGGAUCUCUUGGCUCUCGCAUCGAUGAAGAACGCAGCGAAAUGCGAUAAGUAAUGUGAAUUGCAGAAUUCAGUGAAUCAUCGAAUCUUUGAACGCACCUUGCGCUCCUUGGUAUUCCGAGGAGCAUGCCUGUUUGAGUGUCAUUAAAUUCUCAACCCUUUCAGCUUUUGCGAGCUGGAUUGGCUUGGAUGUGGGGGUUUGCGGGCUUCUCAGAAGUCGGCUCCUCUUAAAUGCAUUAGCGGAACCUUUGUGGACCAGCUUUGGUGUGAUAAUUAUCUACGCCAUGGUUGUGAAGCAGCUUUACAUGGGGUUCAGCUUCUAACCGUCCAUUGACUUGGACAAAUUCUGACAUUUUGACCUCAAAUCAGGUAGGACUACCCGCUGAACUUAAGCAUAUCAAUAAGCGGAGGAAAAGAAACUAACAAGGAUUCCCCUAGUAACUGCGAGUGAAGCGGGAAAAGCUCAAAUUUAAAAUCUGGCGGUCCUUGUGGCUGUCCGAGUUGUAAUCUAGAGAAGUGUUAUCCGCGCUGGACCGUGUACAAGUCUCCUGGAAC
Molecule: ribosomal RNA, 785 nt
Filed under: Clitocybe subditopoda
Lineage: Eukaryota; Fungi; Basidiomycota; Agaricomycetes; Agaricales; Clitocybaceae
Description: eukaryotic LSU rRNA
Rfam family: 5.8S ribosomal RNA (bases 221-374)
Source: RNAcentral